AAAAAAAGAUAUUUUAGUUAAAUGCAAAUGCACAAUUUGUGUAUAAAAAUUGAUCAGAACAUAUUCUCUGUCAUAUGAGUCUAUCCACACAUCACAAGUUGUUCCCAACAAAUGUGUUGAUAGUACUAAUUUGCAACAAAAUCUCAACAAGUGGAUUUUCCUGAUACUAUAAGCAAUAUCUAAAUACUGCCACCCCUCAGGGCAAGCACAAGAUGCAGCACAGAGCCACCCUCGAUAUUGUAGUCACGAGCUGUUUUGUCAUCUCCAAGCUGUUUACCAGCAUAAAUAAGCCUUUGCUGCACUGGAGGAAUUCCUUCCUUCUCCUCAACUCGUUCCUUGAUUCGAUCAAUGGUAUCAGUUGGUUCGAUAUCAAUUUCAAUCUCUUUCCCAGUAAGGGUCUUCACUUUGAUCAUAGUUCCACCCCUAAGCCUUAAAACCAGGUGAAGAGUUGACUCCUUCUGGAUGUUGUAAUCAGCCAGGGUUCUACCAUCUUCCAAUUGUUUACCAGCAAAAAUCAACCUCUGCUGAUCAGGAGGAAUGCCUUCCUUGUCCUGAAUCUUGGCUUUGACGUUUUCGAUGGUGUCGCUGCUCUCGACCUCGAGAGUGAUGGUCUUACCGGUGAGGGUCUUGACGAAGAUCUGCAUUCUUAGCUUUGGCAGCUUGUGGCUGCGUUUUGGGCAGAGAGAGAGAGAGAGGGGUUGAAUUUAAGAANNNNNNNNNNNNGGACAACUUGGUAUGGGGCUGUGGGCUUAUUUAUUGAGGGAAGUUUUCCUUGUCCAUGCUGGACAGGUAAAGAAUCGCCCAAUCGAGAAUCCGAUCGCCUUAUUG
Molecule: unclassified non-coding RNA, 828 nt
Filed under: Hevea brasiliensis (rubber tree)
Lineage: Eukaryota; Viridiplantae; Streptophyta; Magnoliopsida; Malpighiales; Euphorbiaceae
Source: RNAcentral